Molecule: ribosomal RNA, 460 nt
Filed under: uncultured bacterium
Lineage: Bacteria
Description: partial 16S ribosomal RNA
Rfam family: Bacterial small subunit ribosomal RNA
Source: RNAcentral
CCUACGGGUGGCAGCAGUGAGGAAUAUUGGUCAAUGGACGAGAGUCUGAACCAGCCAAGUAGCGUGAAGGAUGACUGCCCUAUGGGUUGUAAACUUCUUUUAUAUGGGAAUAAAAUGUUCCACGUGUGGGGUUUUGUAUGUACCAGAAGAAUAAGGAUCGGCUAACUCCGUGCCAGCAGCCGCGGUAAUACGGAGGAUCCGAGCGUUAUCCGGAUUUAUUGGGUUUAAAGGGUGCGUAGGUGGAUUGUUAAGUCAGUUGUGAAAUUUUGCGGCUCAACCGUCAGAUUGCAGUUGAAACUGGCAGUCUUGAGUACAGUAGAGGUAGGCGGAAUUCGUGGUGUAGCGGUGAAAUGCAUAGAUAUCACGAAGAACUCCGAUUGCGAAGGCAGCUCACUGGACUGCAACUGACGCUGAGGCACGAAAGUGUGGGUAUCGAACAGGAUUAGAUACCCCAGUAGUC